GUCGAACGGGUAACAGGGUCUUCGGACGCUGACGAGUGGCGAACGGGUGAGUAAUACAUCGGAACGUGCCCAGUCGUGGGGGAUAACUACUCGAAAGAGUAGCUAAUACCGCAUACGAUCUGAGGAUGAAAGCGGGGGACCUUCGGGCCUCGCGCGAUUGGAGCGGCCGAUGGCAGAUUAGGUAGUUGGUGGGAUAAAAGCUUACCAAGCCGACGAUCUGUAGCUGGUCUGAGAGGACGACCAGCCACACUGGGACUGAGACACGGCCCAGACUCCUACGGGAGGCAGCAGUGGGGAAUUUUGGACAAUGGGCGAAAGCCUGAUCCAGCAAUGCCGCGUGCAGGAUGAAGGCCUUCGGGUUGUAAACUGCUUUUGUACGGAACGAAAAAGCUUCUCCUAAUACGAGAGGUCCAUGACGGUACCGUAAGAAUAAGCACCGGCUAACUACGUGCCAGCAGCCGCGGUAAU
This 468-nucleotide ribosomal RNA is filed under the name uncultured bacterium. RNAcentral's name for it is "bacterial SSU rRNA". It matches the Rfam family "Bacterial small subunit ribosomal RNA", at positions 61 to 524 of the family's 1533-position model. The record is from RNAcentral.